This 3031-nucleotide unclassified non-coding RNA is filed under the name Hevea brasiliensis (rubber tree). The record is from RNAcentral. Lineage: Eukaryota; Viridiplantae; Streptophyta; Magnoliopsida; Malpighiales; Euphorbiaceae.
CGAGCAUAUAUUCAGCUGCACAGUAACUCGCAGUAUCAAAUUUGCUGUAGCCUUGCAUUCACUACAAGUUCUUGGACAUUUCACUAGUCUCAGAAAAAAGCAAUAAAGUCCCCCAGAAGAAGAAUUGAACCUUUCAUCAAGUUCUUGCAAUGGAGUCUUUGAGAAUGUCCCUGAAAGCUUAUCAGUCUCAGGUAAAGCAACAAAAUCACCCAGAAGGAGAAAAUCAAGCUCUCUUGAACGACCACAACCAUCAUCACAUGGCGCAGUCCUCUAACUCUGAUGCUCAGAAAGAAGAAAUAGUUGUCAAGAUUGACGCCGAUAAUGCUUCUGGCAAAGAAACUGCUGCUUCUAAAUCUAGCAGUGAAAGUUCAAGCAGUAAUUUUGCAGGUUCAUCAAAGAAACUUAAAGUAUCAUUUGGAGAUGUACUAACUGAAGCUGUUCGGCAAAGAAACAAGGACUUGCUAGACCAGGAAGGUCGUUGUCUGUCUUUAAGUGCUUCUUUUGGGAGCAAGUCAUGGAGGUCAGCCGUGAACAAGACAAAAUCUAGAUUGAUAGACCCACCGGAGGAAAGAUAUCAAACAACUGAGACAGCAGGCUAUGGUGGAGAUUCUGAGGAAGAUCGGGACAACCAUCAUGAAGAAAAUGACUCCGAAGACAUCCCAGAAGAAUACAAGAAAAUGAACUUCAGUGCAUUGACAAUUUUGCAACGGCUGAUUCUUGUUUUAGUCACAGCAACCUUGGUUUGUAGCCUUUCUAUUCCAGUAAUAAGGAGGCAAACAUUGUGGGAUCUUCCACUAUGGAAAUGGGAGAUAAUGGUUUUGGCAUUAAUCUGUGGCCAUUUAGUCUCCGGUUGGGGAAUCAAGGUGGCCGUGAUCAUCUUUGAACGUAAUUUCGUUUUGCGAAAACGGGUAUUGUAUUUUGUUUAUGGAUUGAGGAAGUCUGUUCAGAAUUGCCUCUGGUUAGGUAUAGUCUUGCUUGUUUGGCACUGGAUUUUCGAUAAAAAGGUUGAGGAGACUAGGAAUAAGAUCUUGCAGUAUGUGACCAAGAUCUUGAUAUGUUUAUUGGUAGGAACAUUUAUAUGGCUCUUGAAAACUCUGAUUGUCAAGGUUCUUGCUUCAUCCUUCCAUGUUAACACGUUCUUUGAAAGAAUCCAGGAGGCUCUAUUCAAUCAAUAUGUAAUAGAGACACUCUGUGGUCCACCAUUGUUUGAAAGUCAGAGCAUAGAAGAAGAUGAUGAUGAUGAUAAAGGGGCUAGUCCUAGUGACCUCAAUGCACCUCUUCUUGCCAAAAGUGGGGGUGGAAAACUAAAAAAGUGCCCUACUGUUGGGAAGAGGCCCAGAUACUCAAGGCAAACUUCUAGGAAGAAGGAUGAGGAAAUUCCAAUUGACCGCCUGCACAAGCUAAAUCAUAAGAAUAUAUCAGCUUGGAAUAUGAGGAGGAUGAUCAAUAUUGUUCGCCACGGUACCCUGUCUACUUUGGAUGAGCAGAUACUUAAUUCAAACAUUGAAGACGAGUCUUUAUUUCAUAUCAGAAGUGAAAACCAAGCGAAAGAGGCUGCCAAAAAGAUAUUCCUCAAGGUGGCAAAGACAGGAUCCCAAUACAUUUUCCUUGAUGAUUUGAUGCGAUUUAUGGCUAAAGAAGAAGCAUUGAGGGCAAUGCAUCUCUUUGGAGCAUCAAGUGAAAGUGAAGGAAUAAGCAAGUUAUCUCUUAACAGUUGGCUGGUUAAUGCAUUUAGAGAGCGACGGGCACUCGCAUUAUCUCUCAACGAUACAAAAACUUCUGUGGAUGACCUUCACAAUAUGUUGAACAUCCUUGUAGCUAUCAUCGUUACAAUAAUCUGGCUCUUGAUACUUGGAGUUAAUAUCACUCACUUCCUUGUCUUCAUAAGCUCCCAGCUUCUGCUUGUGGCUUUCAUCUUCGGGGAUAGCUGCAAGACAACAUUUGAAGCAAUCAUAUUCUUAUUUGUAAUGCACCCAUUCGAUGUGGGUGAUCGUUGUGAAGUGGAUGGAGUUCAGAUGGUGGUUGAAGAGAUGAAUAUAUUAACUACAGUUUUCCUGAGGUAUGAUAAGCAAAAGAUCACCUACCCCAAUUUUGUUCUAGCUACCAAACCAAUCGGCAACUUCUAUCGCAGUCCAGAUAUGGAUGAGAUAAUCGAUUUCUGCAUUCACAUCUCCACUCCAAUGGAGAAGAUUGCUAUAAUGAAAGAAAGAAUUAAAGAGUAUAUUGAAGGCGACAAAGACCACUGGCAUCCCAGUCCCAAGAUAAUCUUGAAGGAUGUAGAGGACAUGAACAAAAUCAACAUGUCAUUGUGGGUUACACAUAAAUUGAACUUUCAGCAGAUGGGGGAGAGAUUGAAUGGAAGAACACUUCUGAUAGAACAAAUGAUCAAGGUGUUCAAAGACCUUAACAUUGAGAAUCGCCUGCUCCCUCUGGAUGUGAAUGUACGAAAUUUCCAGCCUUUGGUUUCAGAUAGGCUUCCCUCAAAUUGGACCAACUAACUAUGCAGGGUUAAAGCGAAGAAGAUCAAGGCAAGGGGACAAUGUGAGAGGUUCAAAUUUGACUAAAAUGGAUUUGAUAUAUGUAAUUUGGCAAAGAAUUAGUACUUUGGUUAAACAACUCGAAUGCCUUUCUUAGUAAUUUGGUAAAGAAUUAUUACUGUGAUUAAAUAAGUUAGAUGCCUUAAACGAUAUUUGUAUUAACUCAAUCAGGGAAGAAGGUAGUCCAGAUGAAGAAACGUGGUUGAAAACUUGGAAAUUGGUCUUGCAUAUUUAAGAUGGACCUUUCUCUUAAUCAUUUUGAAAUUGGUCUUUCUCUUUAUGGGUCGUAGAAUUUUAGAUGAGCUUGAAUAUUUCUUCUUUGAGCUGAGCAUUUCCAAUCUUCAUCGUUGGCUGCUCCGCCUUGUCCACUUGACUGUGUUUUAAGUUUGUUCAAUAAAACUCAUAGCGUCUCUGGCCUCAAGAGACCUUCUGAUCGGUGAUGAACUUCUAACAAAUCCAGGAAAAUAAAUUCCCUUUUUUUUUUUGUCUGAAAA